RNAcentral lists this ribosomal RNA (460 nucleotides) under uncultured bacterium. Its description in RNAcentral is "partial 16S ribosomal RNA". It matches the Rfam family "Bacterial small subunit ribosomal RNA", at positions 338 to 795 of the family's 1533-position model. The record is from RNAcentral.
CCUACGGGAGGCAGCAGUGAGGAAUAUUGGUCAAUGGACGGGAGUCUGAACCAGCCAAGUAGCGUGAAGGAUGACUGCCCUAUGGGUUGUAAACUUCUUUUAUAAAGGAAUAAAACGAGGCACGUGUGCCUUUUUGCAUGUACUUUAUGAAUAAGGAUCGGCUAACUCCGUGCCAGCCGCCGCGGUAAUACGGAGGAUCCGAGCGUUAUCCGGAUUUAUUGGGUUUAAAGGGAGCGUAGAUGGGUUGUUAAGUCAGUUGUGAAAGUUUGCGGCUCAACCGUAAAAUUGCAAUUGAUACUGGCAGUCUUGAGUACAGUUGAGGUAGGCGGAAUUCGUGGUGUAGCGGUGAAAUGCUUAGAUAUCACGAAGAACCCCGAUUGCGAAGGCAGCUUACUAAACUGUGACUGACAUUGAUGCUCGAAAGUGUGGGUAUCAAACAGGAUUAGAUACCCUUGUAGUC